This 124-nucleotide ribosomal RNA is filed under the name Saimiri boliviensis boliviensis (Bolivian squirrel monkey). Lineage: Eukaryota; Metazoa; Chordata; Mammalia; Primates; Cebidae. The record is from RNAcentral.
GCCCACAGCCAUACCACCCUGAAUGCACCCCGAUCUUGUCUGAUCUCAGAAGCUAAGCAGGGUCAUGCCUGGUUUAGCACUUGGAUGGGAGAUGUAUGAGGAGUUUCAGCAGACCAGUGUGGCU